RNAcentral lists this ribosomal RNA (253 nucleotides) under uncultured bacterium. RNAcentral's name for it is "partial 16S ribosomal RNA". It matches the Rfam family "Bacterial small subunit ribosomal RNA", at positions 524 to 776 of the family's 1533-position model. The record is from RNAcentral.
UACAGAGGGUGCAAGCGUUGUUCGGAAUUAUUGGGCGUAAAGCGCGUGUAGGCGGCAGUGCAAGUCGGGUGUGAAAGCCCUCAGCUCAACUGAGGAAGUGCGCUCGAAACUGCAUUGCUUGAGUACCGGAGAGGAUGGCGGAAUUCCCGAAGUAGAGGUGAAAUUCGUAGAUAUCGGGAGGAACACCGGUGGCGAAGGCGGCGACCUGGGUCGAUACUGACGCUGAGGUGCGAAAGCGUGGGGAGCAAACAGG